This 497-nucleotide ribosomal RNA is filed under the name uncultured bacterium. RNAcentral describes it as "partial 16S ribosomal RNA". It matches the Rfam family "Bacterial small subunit ribosomal RNA", at positions 28 to 507 of the family's 1533-position model. The record is from RNAcentral.
GAUGAACGCUGGCGGCGUGCCUAAUACAUGCCAGUCGAGCGAACAGACGAGGAGCUUGCUCCUCUGACGUUAGCGGCGGACGGGUGAGUAACACGUGGAUAACCUACCUAUAAGACUGGGAUAACUUCGGGAAACCGGAGCUAAUACCGGAUAAUAUAUUGAACCGCAUGGUUCAAUAGUGAAAGACGGUUUUGCUGUCACUUAUAGAUGGAUCCGCGCCGCAUGAGAUAGUUGGUAAGGUAACGGCUUACCAAGGCAACGAUGCGUAGCCGACCUGAGAGGGUGAUCGGCCACACUGGAACUGAGACACGGUCCAGACUCCUACGGGAGGCAGCAGUAGGGAAUCUUCCGCAAUGGGCGAAAGCCUGACGGAGCAACGCCGCGUGAGUGAUGAAGGUCUUCGGAUCGUAAAACUCUGUUAUUAGGGAAGAACAAAUGUGUAAGUAACUAUGCACGUCUUGACGGUACCUAAUCAGAAAGCCACGGCUAACUACGUG